RNAcentral lists this ribosomal RNA (131 nucleotides) under Mycobacterium lentiflavum. Its description in RNAcentral is "partial 16S ribosomal RNA". It matches the Rfam family "Bacterial small subunit ribosomal RNA", at positions 1405 to 1533 of the family's 1533-position model. The record is from RNAcentral. Lineage: Bacteria; Bacillati; Actinomycetota; Actinomycetes; Mycobacteriales; Mycobacteriaceae.
UGAAAGUCGGUAACACCCGAAGCCAGUGGCCUAACCUUUUGGAGGGAGCUGUCGAAGGUGGGAUCGGCGAUUGGGACGAAGUCGUAACAAGGUAGCCGUACCGGAAGGUGCGGCUGGAUCACCUCCUUUCU